GAUUACAUGUGAUUUCAUAAGUUAUAACCACAACCACGCAUAAAUAAAGAGUAAAUGAAACUUUCAUCCAUGUUUAUAACUCUCUUUAACAGUCAUGCAAUUACAAACCGAAUCCUCAUCAUUGUGUUGGAAGGUACCCUAAGACACAAAUAAAGCGCACAAAAACAACUCUUUUUUGGAUUUUCAAAAACAAUUUUUCAAAUUUUUAUGAAUUUUUGGAUUUUUAUGUCAAAACACACUGAAACAUUCUAAAACAGCUUAAAAAUACUUAAAACAAUAAGGAACAACACUAGAAGUAAUGGGUGAUAAAUUUCUACGAAUUUCAUGCAAAACAAUGGUUACCCCCCCCCCACACUUAAAUCAAACAUUGUCCUCAAUGUUUCAAGCAUAUACUCACACCAAAAACAAGCAAAUAACAAACGACAAAUAAACAUGACAAAUAUGGCAAAGUAAAAACCAGACAGAGUAGAGUUUAAGAACGUAAAUCUGGUUUUGGAGAUAGUUGAUCUUGUUGACUUUCCACAGCUUUGAUCUUGAACUGGAUUGGAAUUGUACAGCGAAGCUUUGCUCUUUGGUGAUGUUGCAGUUCCUUAUUUGUUCUCCAAGCAGAUGUGGCAGCUUCUUUAGUUCUUCAUCUCAGACUCCUUGUGCUGGGUUGAUUGUGCAAGCUGCAUUCUUCUCUGCUUGUUUCUUCUGCACGACGGGCGGGCACGAGGUAAAGGUGUUAGUCUGUUUCUUUCUUCAAUUUCCAAGUGCCCACCUCUUGCUUUCUUUCUCCUUGUCCCUAGUUGAGGAUGAAUCAGCACGUUGUCUCCACAUGCUUCGAGGUAUCAUCUUCACUUCCCUUAUACGUGAGAGACGAAGCGGAAGCACAAGAUGAUGAGUACUCGAGAACAGGUGCUGGCUGGAGAAAGGACAGGGAGAAAGCAUGAUAUGAGAUACUCGUGCUCUCAACCUUUAUGAUAUGAAAUACUUGUGCUCUGGAUGGGUUGUUUGCAAGGGUAUCCCAGGGGAUGAAAAAUACAGAGUGACUCGAGAGGGUUUGUUGGAAAGCCAUUUCAGAGAGGAUGAAUGGUUAAGUGAGGCUGAAAGUUGGGUGAGACUGCUUCACUUUGAAGUUCAGCAUUUAUAGAAUUUUCUUAAUG
Molecule: long non-coding RNA, 1145 nt
Filed under: Malus domestica (apple)
Lineage: Eukaryota; Viridiplantae; Streptophyta; Magnoliopsida; Rosales; Rosaceae
Description: long non-coding RNA (MDOM_LNC004743)
Source: RNAcentral